CAACAGUUGGAAACGACUGCUAAUACCGCAUAAGCGCACAGCUUCGCAUGAAGCAGUGUGAAAAACUACCGGUGGUACAAGAUGGACCCGCGUCUGAUUAGCUGGUUGGUGAGGUAACGGCCCACCAAGGCGACGAUCAGUAGCCGGCCUGAGAGGGUGAACGGCCACAUUGGGACUGAGACACGGCCCAAACUCCUACGGGAGGCAGCAUG
This 212-nucleotide ribosomal RNA is filed under the name uncultured bacterium. RNAcentral describes it as "partial 16S ribosomal RNA". It matches the Rfam family "Bacterial small subunit ribosomal RNA", at positions 144 to 353 of the family's 1533-position model. The record is from RNAcentral.